Molecule: long non-coding RNA, 2301 nt
Filed under: Homo sapiens (human)
Lineage: Eukaryota; Metazoa; Chordata; Mammalia; Primates; Hominidae
Description: HSALNT0028378
Source: RNAcentral
GUUCUGAAGGUCAAAGGCAGUGAGAGCAGCCCAGUUGGGCAUUCUGGCGAAGCCUGCGGGGGAGGUGGAGCCCUUCCCAGAGCACCCUGAUAACCCUGACAGGCACACUCGCUGCCUCCGGGGCCUGAGGAGGAGGGUGGAAAGCUCUCCCAUAUCCUCGAGCGAGGAAAGCGCUCUCCUUGACUGCCCUCGCAUGUCUAGUGACCUGUCUCUGCACUGGGACCAGGAAGAUGCUUUAUUUCAAAGAGGCCCCGCAGCUCCGUGUGAGGCCUGCACACAGGAGAGACAAAGAGACAUGAACUGGGAGACUCCAGAGGAGGUGUCUGUGCUGGGAAGAGAGACGACAGGGCCUGGGGCUGCUGCCUAGCUGGGGAAGAGCUGGGCCCCAGGCAGGAGAAUGACCCUCGAAGAAGUACAAGCCCUAAUCUCUAGACCCCGAGAAUCGGCCUGUGGAUGUGAUGAAGGACCUCGAGAUGGAGCGCAUAUCCUGGAUUAUCUGCGCAGGUCCUGGGUAAUCACCAGGGCCCUUCUAAGAGGGAGGCGGAGAGAGAGGUCAGUGUCAGAGAGAGAUGUGACGAUGGGAGAAGAGGUCAGAAAGAGAUUGGAAGAUGCUACUCAGUGGCUUUGCAGAUGCAGGGAGGGGGCAUGAACCAAGGAAUCGGGAGGCUUUUUGAAGCUGGGAAAGGCAAGGCAAUGGAUUCUUUCUUGGAACCUCCAGAAGGAAUGCAGCCCUGCUGGCACCUUGACUUUCAUCCUUUAAGACCCAUGUCUGGACUCCUGACCUCCAGAACUGUAAUAUAAUACAUCUGCGUUGUUUCGAACCUGUAAGUCUGUGGUAGUUUGCUGCAGCAACAACAGGAAUUAAUACUCAGGCCCUGGUGCUUUCAGGGAAGGGCUGUGGCCAAUGUGCCUGGGGCCUGGGGUGGGAGAGGUGGAGUGGGGACAGAUGAGGCUGGACAGAUAGGCAGGGGAUACACAGGGCCUUCCAAGUCACAGCAAAGAAUUUGCCCUAGCCAAGGCAGUCCAAGUGAGACAGGAGGAAGAGGGGAGCAGUAUUUUGGGGGGAUCCGUGCUGUGGAAGAUGGUCUGGUGGGAAGUGGCUGGGGCACACUGACAUUGGGGAGCUGCUGUAGGUGCAGCAGAAGGUGACAUGGCCUGGACCCAGCUAGUGGCAAUGCGGGAAGGCAUAGCCUGCCUGAGAGCUGAAACACAGCAGAGGGCAAAUUCCUCUUCUCCCCUGCCCUUGUUUUUUUUCUUCCUGCCUCACCCAGCUAUGGUGCCAAAGGCUCCAAAGGGCCACCUGAGAUAAGGUAAUGAUUUUGGAGGAAGAGUAAAUUCUGGGGAAUGUUCCCAACGGCUCAACUGGGAAAGGACAAUUGACUUCCUAUGUGUGCACAGCUAUUCAUGCACACUCACACCAACGACACACACACACACACACACACACACACACACAUGAGGGGUUCUAGCAUGCCCGUGGCCUUUCUCCUCAUUGGCCUUCUCCCUCGCGGGGCCAGGGAGAGGCUGCUCACCCUUGGCAGUCCCAGGAGCCCGAGGUGCGGCCCAGGGGGCAUGUCUGAUGUCAGGCCUCCAACAGUGACUCCCUUUUGGGGCCAACAGGUGAGGGAGACAGGAGGCGGGAGUCAGAGGACUGAACCCUGAGUGGGGAGGCACAGGGCACACUGCCAACCGACUCUUCAAUCACACCUGUGAUCACAGCAGAGGCGAAACUCUGGUCACUUCAUCAGAAAGAUCAAGAUUGCAAACCACAGCACCUGGUGUGUGCACACCCUGCACCCUUCACUCAAUCUCCAGCCACUCUGAACCACCUGUAGCUCUCUGAAUGCCACCCGUUUCACCUGUCUCUUUCUCUGUCUGGGCAUCUUCUCUCCCUUCUGGUCUGCCUGGUUAUCUCCUCCUGAUUGUUCAGGUCUCACAUCAAUAAAUUCCUUUUCCGCGGGGACUGGCUGGGACUGGCUGAGGUUCAGUGCAUGGACCCUGGAGCUAGUCAGCCCUGCAAUGAGUGCAGCCCUGCUGCCCACCAGCUGUGUGGGGCAGUCAGGGCUCCUCCCUGGGCAAGAGACAAAAAACCCAACCCACACUGGCUUAAGCAAAAACAGUAUGUAUUGGCUUAUGAACCUGAACAACCCCAGGAUGGACUUCAGGCAAGGGUUUAUCCAGGACUCAAACGAAGAAACCUGGGCCAGGUUUCCUACCCUCCAUUUUUCAGCCCCAUUUCCCUGGUGCGAGCUCCAUUCUCAGAUACACUCUGUCCAAAGCCCCAGGCCACAUGCUCCCCUG